UAGGGAAUCUUCCACAAUGGACGCAAGUCUGAUGGAGCAACGCCGCGUGAGUGAAGAAGGCUUUCGGGUCGUAAAACUCUGUUAUUGAAGAAGAACGUGUGUGACAGUAACUGGUCAUGCAGUGACGGUAUUCAAUCAGAAAGUCACGGCUAACUACGUGCCAGCAGCCGCGGUAAUACGUAGGUGGCAAGCGUUGUCCGGAUUUAUUGGGCGUAAAGCGAGUGCAGGCGGUCUUUUAAGUCUGAUGUGAAAGCCUUCGGCUUAACCGAAGAAGGGCAUCGGAAACUGGAGACUUGAGUGCAGAAGAGGAGAGUGGAACUCCAUGUGUAGCGGUGAAAUGCGUAGAUAUAUGGAAGAACACCAGUGGCGAAGGCGGCUCUCUGGUCUGUAACUGACGCUGAGGCUCGAAAAGCGUGGGUAGCAAAACAGGAU
This 432-nucleotide ribosomal RNA is filed under the name uncultured bacterium. Its description in RNAcentral is "partial 16S ribosomal RNA". It matches the Rfam family "Bacterial small subunit ribosomal RNA", at positions 355 to 778 of the family's 1533-position model. The record is from RNAcentral.